UCAUUCUAUUGAACCAAAAUCAGCCGCUGCAACCAAAGCUUGUUCCAUGAUCAGGAUUCGAAACAUACACCAUCGAGUAGAAGGGAAGUGGUUGAAGAUCAAAUCGAUGUCCUUAAUGUUCCUUCUAUCUGUUACUUUGGAUCUUUUGAAAUCAUAUAAGGAAGCAAGACAAGUAAACAUUAAUAAAAGGAAGAAGAUAGUGAUCGAUUUCCAAGAGUCAACUUCUGCAACUCGAAUAGCAACAACUAAUAUGAGGAUUAGAAUCAAAAUUUGCUUGUCAAUCUACAUCUAAAAUUUAUGAAAUUUUGGUUAUACAAUAUGUAUUUGUA
Long non-coding RNA from Papaver somniferum (opium poppy), 329 nucleotides. RefSeq lists it as uncharacterized. Lineage: Eukaryota; Viridiplantae; Streptophyta; Magnoliopsida; Ranunculales; Papaveraceae. The transcript is spliced from 3 exons. The record is from RefSeq and is a predicted model, not a curated record.